Molecule: ribosomal RNA, 700 nt
Filed under: uncultured bacterium
Lineage: Bacteria
Description: bacterial SSU rRNA
Rfam family: Bacterial small subunit ribosomal RNA
Source: RNAcentral
CAUGCAAGUCGAGCGGUAACAGGCGGCAAUACGUGCUGACGAGCGGCGAACGGGUGAGCAAUGCUUCGGAAUCUGCCCUUUAGUGGGGAAUAACCAGCCGAAAGGUUGGCUAAUACCGCAUACGCCCUUCGGGGGAAAGCGGGGGACCGUAAGGCCUCGCGCUAUUGGAUGAGCCGAAGUCGGAUUAGCUAGUUGGUAGGGUAACGGCCUACCAAGGCGACGAUCCGUAGCUGGUCUGAGAGGACGACCAGCCACACUGGGACUGAGACACGGCCCAGACUCCUACGGGAGGCAGCAGUGGGGAAUAUUGGACAAUGGGGGCAACCCUGAUCCAGCGACGCCGCGUGUGUGAAGAAGGCCUGCGGGUUGUAAAGCACUUUUAGUGGGGAUGAAAAGCUCAGGGAUAACACCUCUGGGUCUUGACCUAACCCACAGAAAAAGCACCGGCUAACUCUGUGCCAGCAGCCGCGGUAAUACAGAGGGUGCAAGCGUUAAUCGGAAUUACUGGGCGUAAAGCGUGCGUAGACGGUUACAUAAGUCGGGUGUGAAAGCCCCGGGCUCAACCUGGGAAUUGCAUUCGAGACUGCGUAGCUNGGGUGCGGAAGAGGGAAGUGGAAUUUCCGGUGUAGCGGUGAAAUGCGUAGAUAUCGGAAGGAACAUCAGUGGCGAAAGCGACUUCCUGGUCCAGCACCGACGUUCA